AGGAUGAACGCUGGCGGUCUGCUUAACACAUGCAAGUCGAACGGAGUAGCAAUACUUAGUGGCGGACGGGUGAGUAACGCGUGAGAAUCUACCUUCAGGACGGAGACAACAGUUGGAAACGACUGCUAACCCCCGAUGUACUGAAAAGGCAAAUAUUUAUAGCCUGAAGAAGAGCUCGCGUCCGAUUAGCUAGUUGGAGAGGUAAAAGCUCACCAAGGCGACGAUCGGUAGCUGGUCUGAGAGGACGAUCAGCCACACUGGGACUGAGACACGGCCCAGACUCCUACGGGAGGCAGCAGUGGGGAAUUUCCGCAAUGGGCGAAAGCCUGACGGAGCAAGACCGCGUGGGGGAAGAAGGCUCUUGGGUUGUAAACCCCCUUUUCUCUGGGAAGAACGCAAUGACGGUACCAGAGGAAUCAGCAUCGGCUAACUCCGUGCCAGCAGCCGC
RNAcentral lists this ribosomal RNA (448 nucleotides) under uncultured bacterium. Its description in RNAcentral is "SSU rRNA". It matches the Rfam family "Bacterial small subunit ribosomal RNA", at positions 26 to 518 of the family's 1533-position model. The record is from RNAcentral.